UCCAUGUAAUCCCUCCAAGAGUUAUUCUCUGUGUUUCAGCAUUCCAUAAUAAGUCUUCCCAUAUCUGAGUUUUCCCUUCACUGCUUGCAAACUGAAGUUGUUUAAAGUCAGCGAAGCAGAGAAUGCAAAAGACUGAGGACCAGAGUUGGUCAGGAAGAACCAACCGGGCUCUCAGUAAACAUUGGAAACAAUCCAUGCGUCCUUAUGUUCCAACUGUUCUAACCAACAUCAUGAAAGCCAGACAAUGUUCCUCCUUGCUGCCACAUUCCUGCUUACGACUCUGCAAUGGGGAACACAGCAGCAGGAGA
Molecule: long non-coding RNA, 308 nt
Organism: Vidua macroura (Pin-tailed whydah)
Lineage: Eukaryota; Metazoa; Chordata; Aves; Passeriformes; Viduidae
Exons: 3
Source: RefSeq, a predicted model, not a curated record